Molecule: ribosomal RNA, 252 nt
Filed under: uncultured bacterium
Lineage: Bacteria
Description: partial 16S ribosomal RNA
Rfam family: Bacterial small subunit ribosomal RNA
Source: RNAcentral
UACGUAGGUCCCUAGCGUUGUCCGGAUUUAUUGGGCGUAAAGCGAGCGCAGGUGGUUUAUUAAGUCUGGUGUAAAAGGCAGUGGCUCAACCAUUGUAUGCAUUGGAAACUGGUAGACUUGAGUGCAGGAGAGGAGAGUGGAAUUCCAUGUGUAGCGGUGAAAUGCGUAGAUAUAUGGAGGAACACCGGUGGCGAAAGCGGCUCUCUGGCCUGUAACUGACACUGAGGCUCGAAAUCGUGGGGAGCAAACAGG